AAUAGAUACCCAGGUAGUCCACCCCGUAAACGUUGGGAACUAGUUGUGGGGUCCUUUCCACGGAUUCCGUGACGCAGCUAACGCAUUAAGUUCCCCGCCUGGGGAGUACGGCCGCAAGGCUAAAACUCAAAGGAAUUGACGGGGACCCGCACAAGCGGCGGAGCAUGCGGAUUAAUUCGAUGCAACGCGAAGAACCUUACCAAGGCUUGACAUACACGAGAACGGGCCAGAAAUGGUCAACUCUUUGGACACUCGUGAACAGGUGGUGCAUGGUUGUCGUCAGCUCGUGUCGUGAGAUGUUGGGUUAAGUCCCGCAACGAGCGCAACCCUCGUUCUAUGUUGCCAGCACGUAAUGGUGGGAACUCAUGGGAUACUGCCGGGGUCAACUCGGAGGAAGGUGGGGAUGACGUCAAAUCAUCAUGCCCCUUAUGUCUUGGGCUUCACGCAUGCUACAAUGGCCGGUACAAUGGGCUGCGAUACCGUAAGGUGGAGCGAAUCCCAAAAAGCCGGUCCCAGUUCGGAUUGAGGUCUGCAACUCGGA
Molecule: ribosomal RNA, 541 nt
Filed under: uncultured bacterium
Lineage: Bacteria
Description: bacterial SSU rRNA
Rfam family: Bacterial small subunit ribosomal RNA
Source: RNAcentral